GAUGAAGAACGUAGCGAAAUGCGAUAAGUAAUGUGAAUUGCAGAAUUCAGUGAAUCAUCGAAUCUUUGAACGCACAUUGCGCCCAUUAGUAUUCUAGUGGGCAUGUCUGUUCGAGCGUCAUUAAGUCCACUUGAGCCCUGCUUAGUGUUGGGAGACUGCUCCAGCGGUGCUACCCUGUAGCUACCCUGCAGCUCCUCAAAGACAGCGGCGGAGUUGUGGUAUCCUCUGAGCUUAGUAACUUGUUCUAGCUUUCGAGUACACCACUUCCCCUGCCGUAAAACCCUUAAUUUUUAAUGGUUGACCUCGGAUCAGGUAGGAAUACCCGCUGAACUUAAGCAUAUCAAUAAGCGGAGGA
This 355-nucleotide unclassified non-coding RNA is filed under the name soil metagenome. Its description in RNAcentral is "partial contains 5.8S ribosomal RNA, internal transcribed spacer 2, and large subunit ribosomal RNA". The stretch from base 1 to 120 matches the Rfam family "5.8S ribosomal RNA", at positions 35 to 154 of the family's 154-position model. The record is from RNAcentral.